ACGAUGAGAUGAAACAAUAAUAGCAACCAACGUUGAAACCAAAGGGGUAUCAACCUUCAACGAUUUCGAGCAAAAAAUAACAUUUUCGAACUUACAAAUAUAACAACUAGCCACCAACACCACACACAUAUCUAUAUCCUAUAUCGACAGAACUUAAAGGAAGAACGGUAAAUUGAAUGAGAAAUUAUCAUUCAAGUAGACACAUAAACUCAGGCAUAAGACAUAAACCAAAUGGAAAGAGGAUCAUGAA
RNAcentral lists this long non-coding RNA (250 nucleotides) under Solanum tuberosum (potato). RNAcentral's name for it is "long non-coding RNA (STUB_LNC001081)". The record is from RNAcentral. Lineage: Eukaryota; Viridiplantae; Streptophyta; Magnoliopsida; Solanales; Solanaceae.